Long non-coding RNA from Oncorhynchus tshawytscha (Chinook salmon), 307 nucleotides. The record is from Ensembl. NCBI's taxonomy places the organism in Eukaryota, Metazoa, Chordata, Actinopteri, Salmoniformes, Salmonidae.
UGGGUGGGGAGGUGUGACCUUAUUAAUAUGGGUGGUGAGGUGUGUCCUGAUUGAUAUGAUGGUGAGGUGUGACCUGAUUAAUAUGGGUGGUGAGGUGUGACCUGAUUAAUAUGGGUGGUGAGGUGUGUCCUGAUUGAUAUGAUGGUGAGGUGUGACCUGAUUAAUAUGGGUGGUGAGGUGUGUCCUGAUUGAUGUGAUGGUGAGGUGUGACCUGAUUAAUAUGGGUGGUGAGGUGUGACCUGAUCAAUAUGGGGGGUGAGGUGCGACCUGAUUAAUAUGUGUGGCGAGGUGUAACCUGAUUAAUAUG